AAUUAAUGAGCUUGUUAAAGCAUUUGUUUUGAAAACUUAAAAAAGAAUUUUAAUAAUUCUAUUAAUUU
This 68-nucleotide transfer RNA is filed under the name Pedesta hyrie. RNAcentral describes it as "tRNA-Ser". The record is from RNAcentral. Lineage: Eukaryota; Metazoa; Arthropoda; Insecta; Lepidoptera; Hesperiidae.